GAUCCUGGCUCAGGACGAACGCUGGCGGCGUGCUUAACACAUGCAAGUCGAACGAUGAAGAAAAGAAUCGAAGCUUCGGCAGAAAUUCAUUUCGGAUUAGUGGCAGACGGGUGAGUAACGCGUGAGCAACCUACCUCUUACAAAGGGAUAGCCUCGGGAAACCGGGAUUAAUACCAUAUAACAUUGCGACGAAGCAUUUCGAUGCAGUCAAAGCUACGGCGGUAAGAGAUGGGCUCGCGUCCCA
This 244-nucleotide ribosomal RNA is filed under the name uncultured bacterium. Its description in RNAcentral is "partial 16S ribosomal RNA". It matches the Rfam family "Bacterial small subunit ribosomal RNA", at positions 15 to 240 of the family's 1533-position model. The record is from RNAcentral.